CAGUGAGGUAAUCCUCACAGCACAUUCCACGUUCCUGGAAAACUACUGGCCUUCUGGGCUGCCAUGUGUUUAUCCAGCAUAGGUUGUGUGGCACAGCACAGUUAUGAACACCACAAAAUUGAGCUGGAAAUCUCUAUGAGAUGAGAAGAAGCAUGACUCACUUCUCCCUGCCCUAGGGAUUACUUCUAGCUUUCAUUUUGAGGAACAUAUUCUCUUUGCUGCCCGAGUUCUUCUUUUUCAUAUACUGGAAACCAGUACUUAGGGAAGGGAUUAACUUUGUGCUUUGGAAUGCCUGUCAAGGAGAGAACUAACAUACAACACCAAAGACUGAGACACUAGUCUGAGAUCAGUGGGCAAGCCAGAUGAGCUCUUCUUUGGCUGAGUAACCCCAUUUUUGAAGCUGAUACUGUUGCAAUGAAAGGUGUGUCUUGGAUAGUGUAAAUUUGACAGCCACCUCAAUAACAGGCACUUCUUCUCAGUGCUCUCAUGAUACACUGAAUACAUUCUCCUAAUGCCUUUAAUGCUUCCAUUUCUCUGUAGUGUCUCAGAGGCUACUGAUGACACAGAUUUUCUUUGUCCACAAAAGGCUCAAUAGAUGUGUGGACAACUGCAGUUUUCCCAUGUCUAUGGAGCUAAAAUCCAAUGUGUAUGGCAUUUUUACUUCUUCUCCCAUUAAAUUCAGUAUUUUGGAAGCAUGUUUAUCUAGAUGGAAUAUUUUCUUUGAUAGAAAAUGUGAUGACCCUUUAAAAUGAAAUAGUGUAUGAUUUUCUGAUUUCAAUCAAAGUGCCAUUAGAAACCACCAAAGACCCCCAAAUGAUGGGUGAAUGGAUAGUGUUCAAGCUGAGAUAUUUUGAGUUAUUUGGGAUUGCUAUUAAACUUAACAUUUCUUCUUUUUUUUAUAAGACAUAUUCAGAAACAGGGAUCAUGGUCACAUCACGGUAACACAGUGCUCUAGAUGUAGUUAUUGGGGAUGGAGCUGAUAAUAUUGAUUUUAUUCUCUGUGCUCUUACUUUCCAGAUAGCUGUCCCUGGCUCAGAGAAAUGGACAGCCCCAGAAACCUGUUAGAAGUACAGAACUCAAACCUCACCUUGUCUGUAUUUGAAGUUGAUUCCCAGGGCAUUCUUGUGGGCUUUGUAAAUUUAGAAAAGUUCCAUGUUGAUUUUUCACAUAAAAGUCCUCAUCUGAUCUGGCCUAGAAAAGCCUGUUCUAGGAAGGAAAUAGCAGAAACAUUGCCAGCAUCCUAUCGUUACCUGGACAACUUUCUUCUGGAACAGAACACAUCAAAUGGUCAAUAAUCCUGAUUCUCUACUUCCCCUGACAAGAUUUAGAAGCAAAAGAAUUAUUCUCAGUGAAUAUAUUCUAGAGUUUUACAAGCUUAACAUUUUAGAGUUAAUAUCAAAUAGCAAAUAUCGACUUACAAAUGUGCAUAUAAAUUAUAUAUGAUUUCAGGAAGGUUGCACAUAUAAUUGGGCUAUAGAGAAGGAAAAUAAUUUUAUGAUAUGCCUUCUAAUUUUGUACAACCCAUUUAAAAGAUUUUGCAUAAUAGAUUCACUCGUCCCCCCACCUUUCCCUUAUUCUUCCCUUUGCUUUUUUACACCUUUACUAAGGGCCUACCAUGUGUUGGGUGCUGCAUUGAAUGUGAGGUAUGAAGAGAAUAUGGACACGGUUCUAGCUUUUGGAAAGAAAGGUUUACAGCCUGGAAGGAAGUGCCUCAAAGCAUUAGGGACUAUGAGCAAUGUCAGGCUCCAGAGCUGAGAAAUUUUGCCUUGUUGAGACCAUGUUCAGCAGGGCCUCAACGGAGCACAUAAAUCUUGGGUUGACCGUGGAGUGAUGCAUUGGGAAGAGUCAAAUCCAAAGAGACAGUGAUAACAGUUUUUAAAAGCCCAUGUAUUGCUAACGUCCAUUUAUGCAGGAUAAUCUGUGAGUGAGUAAGCAUGUAUGAUGAGCCUUACAGAUACAGAGUUAUGAAAGAACAGCCCCUAAAAUGUUAGCCCCUAAAAUGUUAUAUCAGGGCGACUGAGAUUCCAAGGAUGGGGGAUGAAUAGGUCCAGAAGGAAAACAUCUGUCAUCAGAGCAGACAAGUCUACAAAUUUCUUUCCAUCUCUUAGUGAAUGACAAUAGUAUACCUUAUAAAUAAAACAUCUCAAUAAUGUGA
Non-coding RNA from Cricetulus griseus (Chinese hamster), 2155 nucleotides. The record is from RefSeq and is a predicted model, not a curated record. Lineage: Eukaryota; Metazoa; Chordata; Mammalia; Rodentia; Cricetidae.